GGCACUAUAGCCAAGUGGUUACGGCGACAGAUUAGAAUCAUUGAAUAUCUAUCUGUUUCCCUCUGGGAGCGCAGGUUCAAAUCCUGCUGGUGUCG
This 95-nucleotide transfer RNA is filed under the name Dentipellis sp. KUC8613. It matches the Rfam family "tRNA". From Rfam's summary of the family: Transfer RNA (tRNA) molecules are approximately 80 nucleotides in length. Their secondary structure includes four short double-helical elements and three loops (D, anti-codon, and T loops). Lineage: Eukaryota; Fungi; Basidiomycota; Agaricomycetes; Russulales; Hericiaceae. The record is from Rfam by way of RNAcentral.